This is a non-coding RNA of Cherax quadricarinatus, 2651 nucleotides long. The record is from RefSeq and is a predicted model, not a curated record. NCBI's taxonomy places the organism in Eukaryota, Metazoa, Arthropoda, Malacostraca, Decapoda, Parastacidae.
AUAAUUGGUUGCAUUGGGAGGUGAUCGUUAAGGGGGGGGUCCACUGUAUAAUCAGUCCAUCACCCUUGGAGAAAAAAGUUAAUGGUCUAAUUACAUUAUCUUCACUACUACACUGCUGCCUCUGUAUUUGACUUAACAAGCCUACUGUGUAGGUCAGACAUUUCAACAAUAAACAUACCCAACUGCUGCCCAUAUUUUAAUCAUUAUUGAUGAGUGCAAUUGUCUCACGCAGAAAGAUAAAGUAUAAAAGAUAUACUAAUUAGAAACAAUGGCAGGUGAUGGUAAUUAGGUACAGUACUAGGUAGCAUUUCAGGGAUAUCCUCUGCUCACCUAAUGUGUUUAUUCCAAAGAAAUGAUUUAAUUCUUGGUUAACAACCUUCAUUAUCAUUUUCUGUAAACGAAGAGACUUUGUAGAAACAGUUUUGUGUGAACAAUGUUUUGCUCUAGAACUUGAUCAAGUUGUGAUGAAACAUUACACUGAGUUAAUGAUGAAUUAAACACAUGUUCAGCAUGUAUUCCUUGAUGUUGCUGUGUCUGAUGAGUUGCAUAUCAGUGGUAUUUGAUAGCAACAAGAUGAUGAAUUAGACGCAUGCUCAACAUCUGGGGGAUUCCUUGAUGUUGCUGUGUCUGAUGAGUUGCACAUCAGUGGUAUUCAUUAGCACCAGAUGAUGAAUUAGACACAUAUUCAACAUACGAGUGAAAUAUUACCCCUGUUCAAGCUUCUACAGUCUCUACUAUCAUUGGCAGUAGGUCAUUUUGACCUAUCAUUCUCUGUAGUGAUAACCUACCAUUAAUGGUCUGAUUUUUGUGUGUAACGAGCAGGUUUAAGCUGAAGAUUACUGUUACAUCCCUCUCAAUGCUGCUCAUAGCAGUGAUGUGGAAUGUUUGUGUUUAUUUGCUAGUUAUAUUGCAAGUUAAAAUGUCUAGCAUGACAGUCUGUUGACUUACGCCAGUUGCAACAAAUAACAUGCAAGUAUCAGUAACGUGAGGUGCAAAAGGUCUUUGGAUGCUGUUAAAACCCUAGACAAUGUUUUGAUAUAUGUAUGUACCUUUUGUAUAUGGCCAGUGUAUUGGAAGAGUGACGAGAGGCAACACUGUAGUCCUCUUCUCCAAUAUACUACAGUGAAACUGUAAAACAUUGUGAAUAUCAUCCUAUUAACUGUAUCAUGUGGUGCUACUAAGAUGGACAAAUGGCACUUGUGAAAAUGUAUAUUGUGAAAAUAGUUGGGCCUUAAGCUGUAGCACCACCGUCAGGCUUGUUCAUCGGAUACACGGCAUUGCUCACUAUGUCAUUAACGACCCCAAGGUAAAAACCUAACGACUGCCGUUGAAUAAAUGAAACACUGGAUGGAGACUUGACCCAAUAAUUUAUACUUAUAAACCAGGGAAUAGGUUAGGUUUGAAUUUAUGGCAAGUGAGUCGUAAAACCCCAGGCUUGUGCGUAAACCCUGGUUUAUUUCCAGUCGUGUUAUUACGAUUUUGAGAGUCACGCUUUUAGCAAACCCAGCACUGCCACCUCAGGCUGAGUGGUUGCAACACCAAGUCAGCAAUGUCGGUGGACUACAAUUCAUAUCUCCAUCCAGACUUUCAUUUAUUCACGUCUCGAACAAAUUUGUAGUUGGUUCUUCCUUGAAUAAUUUAGAUUGAGGCUGUUUUGAAUGUAUAUCAGAUAUGAAGACAUGAUGAUAGUGUUUCUCGGUGAUUCCCAUGAACAAGUUGUUUUCAUUUCAUCUAUGUUACAAAUCAUAUAAUCUCCCCAGUUGAACAUAAACCCAUACCAUGCCUUUAAAUAUCUGUAUAGCAACACUUAGUUUCCUUUGCAUCAAAGACCAUAUCAUUUUCAUAUAUUUUUAAUUUAUCUUUCUGUUUUGACUAUUAUUUCUUUACACUCUGACUCAGGUGAGAGAUAACUUACACUGGUCCAGGUGAGAGAUAACUUACACUCUGGCCCAGGUGAGAGGUAACUUACACUCUGGCCCAGGUGAGAGAUAACUUACAUGUACAGUACUUACUUUCACACAUUCCUUACCUACAUAACCUGUCCAAAUAUCCCUUACAUAUAUACCCUGUCUCCACAUACCAACAUACCCUGUCCUCCACACACUGGACCUACGUUGUCAUUAUUCCCAUGAACCUCCAAGAGCUGCACCACCAUACAUUCACAAAUCAUUCUAUUUCUUUUUCCAGUUCAGGCAGUGUUAAUUUAUAUCCCUUUCGAAAGAUUAUAAAUUCUGUAUUUUCCAGCACAUAAGGCGCACAGUGUUCCCAAGCAGUUGUAAUGUUAGUAAACAUCUGAUAAAGCCUAACUUGAGGCCUACCCUUGAUCCUGAUCUUCACUAUAUAAAGCUCAGGCUGACUUUCCAAGACCUCUUUAUAUGGGUGGGGAAAAGCGUGCCUUAUAUGCAAGAAAAUACAGUACUGCCUCUGAUCUUAAUUGUGUGUGUGUGUGUGUGUGUGUGUGUGUGUGUGUGUGUGUGUGUGUGUGUGGAUGUGUGGGUGUGUGUGUGUGGAUGUGUGGGUGUGCAGGUUCUGUCUUAAUCUUGCAGUAAGUUAUUUCCCCAUUACGUACAUUCUCUUCCUUCACUUCAAAACAUGCUUCAUGGCGCAAAUGAAUGUAAGAGAUUUUCUUCUUAAUAAAAUUGUGAUGAUAA